RNAcentral lists this ribosomal RNA (281 nucleotides) under uncultured bacterium. RNAcentral describes it as "partial 16S ribosomal RNA". It matches the Rfam family "Bacterial small subunit ribosomal RNA", at positions 28 to 301 of the family's 1533-position model. The record is from RNAcentral.
GAUGAACGCUGGCGGCGUGCCUAAUACAUGCAAGUCGAACGAGGUGCUUUUGUAGCAAUACGAAAGUAUCCUAGUGGCGAACGGGUGAGUAACGCGUUGGUGACCUGCCCCAAAGUGUGGGAUAACAGUCCGAAAGGAUUGCUAAUACCGCAUGUGGUCCUCGGAUUUAGAAACCGAUGACUAAAGCCGUAAGGCGCUUUGGGAGGGACCUGCGUCCCAUCAGCUAGUUGGUGAGGUAACGGCUCACCAAGGCGACGACGGGUAGGGGGCCUGGAGAGGGU